Molecule: unclassified non-coding RNA, 2611 nt
Filed under: Hevea brasiliensis (rubber tree)
Lineage: Eukaryota; Viridiplantae; Streptophyta; Magnoliopsida; Malpighiales; Euphorbiaceae
Source: RNAcentral
AACUUGGUUCAGGGCACGCAAUGGUAUAUAUAUAUCCAGGGCAAACUAUUUUGAUUAUUGUUUUGUGUCCGUGGGUGUAUGUGAAAGAAUGCUCUGUUAUUUCAUCUUUGUUUUUAUACAUAAUGAUUUGUUGGUUUCUUAUAUGUUUUCCUAAACAGCUUGAAAAUAAUAACUUGAAUUUUCAAGACAAUUUAUUCUUAUUAUGAUCAAGUCUACACCAGCAAUCAAUUUAAUGAUACAAUACUUUGAUUGGGUUAACCUGGUAUGCAAAAGAAUUCUAGCUGUAGAUGCUAGUGCCAGCCAGAUGAUUAAAGCAAUUCUUUCAUAUGUUAUUGUGCAUAUAGCUAUGCAUCUAUUUGUGAUUAAUUGAAUUUACUUUUAAAUUUUGAAAAUGAGUUUGCCACUUGACAGUUUGAAUUGCUUUCUGUAGUAUGCACUAUGUCUCUUUAUUUUGUUACCUUUAUUUAACAUGAGGUCCAUCAUUUUUUUUAACUUUAGGUAAUUAGGUCCUAUGUGCAUGAACUGGAGUACAAGUAUCUGUUACAAGUACAUGCUGGGGUUAGACAUGCCAAUUUUCCAAAAUCUUCAUAGGUUUUCUCCUAAAUUUUAAGUGCUGAAUUGUCCUACCCCUGUACAAGUAUCCCAUCUGAUGUGGCACUUUGGGGUAAAGUGAGAAGUCAGAGUAACUACAACUGCGGGUACGAGUAGUCUAUGAGCACAUAUUUGUGUUUAGAAAAGGUCAUAACAGUUUUUGUUUGUAAGGUGUACUUUUCUCUUAGUAGCUGUCCCUUCAAUUUGCACCUGUUUCUGAAUGUCAAAGUAUUGAUACCUGUGCUGAUGACAGUAACAGAAUAGUAGUUUUACUUGUUGCCUUGGUUGUGGAGGCAGUGAUGCUUGUUGAAAAUUGAAAUGCUAAAUUGCCUUCUAUAGUCUGAAUGUUAUCAGUAGUGAUUAUGCUGCUCAUAUUGGAUGGUAUUGAGCCCUGUUCAAGAAAAAUUAUGAAUAAUCAUGCUUCUUUAUUGCCUAUGUUUGCCCCCUCAACUUAUCUUUAGUCAUUCAUUAUCAUUUACCAUAUAACAUUUUUUUAGUGAAUUCACUCAACCAAACUCAACUGUACAUUAAAUUCAAACUAUUUGAGAUUUACUAUAUAAAUAAUUUUCCUUUCAUUCUAAUUUCUACCUGGUUUAGAGCUGCAUCUUCAAAAAGAUGUCGGACCACUAGUUGCUCGAAUAAAGUUGUUUGGAGGUCAGUGUAUUUCUGGAGCCUUGGUGCAACUUCUAUGUCCAUUUGUAGGAAGAAAACCAGAAAUUAGAUAUAUAAGCUUGGUAAUUUUUUAGGCUCAUCUCUUUUUCUGUGGGAUUCAAGUCAAAUGAAUAUACCAUCUUUCAGCAUACAACAACCUCUACAAAGAUGUUUGUUCAGAGGAUCGUUAAGGGAAGAAUUAUAUGGUUUAUGGUUCUUAGUACAAGAGAUUAAAAUUCUGGAGAAUAAAGAAAUAAACUUUAUCAGUUAUUCCAGAAAGUUCCAAAUUUGAUUAUGCUCAAAUAUUUUUUUGAUAAAAUAAUGUUUGUAUAAAUAGUGCUAGAGAGGAAAUAGAGUACAAGGAGGAAAGACUUCCUCCUAAGAAAAAGCUAAAAUCGAAAACAUAAGUUUAUUAUCAAAACAAAGGGACUUUCCAACCUUGCAAUAUAUCUAAUUAUCUACUGGAGAUAUCCCUAUUAAAAAAACUAAAUGCUGAACACCAGAUAGACAACAUGGAUACCUUUUUUAAGUCUAAGUAAUAGCAUAGCAAAGAUGUUCCUGAAAACUCUUGCAUUAUGCUCCAAACAAACUCUUCAAAACACCCAAAUUUCACGCUAUCCAGACAAUCCUUUCCCUCCUUCGUCUUGUAACCCUUCAAAUGAAACAACUAUAAUUCUUAAAGUGGGCAAACCCACUUUUCACUAGAAAUGGCGAAAGUUUUUUUCUUCAGAUACUUAAUGAAACAUAACAAUACAAGACUGGAUAUGCAUGAUCUCACCACUAUAAAAACAUGGGAAUGCCUCAUCAGGUCUCCACUCUUGUAGCUUAUUACUAUUAAUGUUAUUACGUAUUGCUUGCCAAACUGAAGUCUUUGUUUUAAGGGGAGCUUUAGACUUUCUUAUGUGACUAUGGUGAAAAUAAUUUAAUGGUCUUUGGUCUUAUAGCUGUUUUGUGCCUUCUGAGUUACAUUUCCCUGUUGUUUUGCUAAUAAUAAACGAGUACAUGGAUGUAACAAACCAGCAUGAACAUAAUAGUUCACUUGACACAUGGACUACACGCUUGAUUUUGAGGGCAGUCACCAGUAUUUUGAUCUGUCCCUUUGCAUUUGGCAAUGGGGCGCAGUGAGGGCAGGCAGCCAUUCCCCAUCCCGUCUCACCCACCUAAUGGGGAGACCCACUGCCAUCCUUCAUUGGCUUCUAUAAUCUUCAUGUUGAAGGUUACCUUCCUUUGGAUGGUGAAAUUCUCCUGCAACUAGAUUAAAAAUUUUAAUUCUAUAUUUGUUCUUACGACAUAAUAGUUGGGCACUUUCACAUACUAACUUCCAUGCGUGGCUGGUGGAAUUGAAGGCGGCAGCAGCAGCUUACCCAUA